This is an unclassified non-coding RNA of Fukomys damarensis (Damara mole-rat), 168 nucleotides long. NCBI's taxonomy places the organism in Eukaryota, Metazoa, Chordata, Mammalia, Rodentia, Bathyergidae. The record is from Ensembl.
UGUCCAGGGGCUGAGGUCUUGCUUGGCCCUAUGAGCAGGGAAACGAAACAGCUCAAUAAAAACUUUUGAUAUUAGUUUUCACAGACAUUUACACUCUGGUGAGUGAGGGACUGAGUACGGAAACUCCACUUAUCAGCCCCCAACCUUGGGUUUGGAUACUUGGUUUAU